GGUGGCUCACGCCUGUAAUCCCAUCACUUUGUGAGGCCAAGGCGGGCGGAUCACAAGGUCAGGAGAUCGAGACCAUUCUGGCUAACAUGGUGAAACCCCGUCUCUACUAAAAAUACAAAAAACCUGUGGUCCCAGCUACUCGGGAGGCUGAGGCGAGGCAGGAGAAUCGCUUGAACCUGGGAGGCGGAGGUUGCAGUGAGCCGAGAUCGCGCCACCGCACUCCAGACUGGCAACAAAGUGAGACUCUGUCUCAAAGAAAAAAAACAAAACAAAACAGGUUUCUUUCCAGUCACCAAAAUGUGGAAGGAUUUAAUGAACUUCCCCCUACCAUGUGUUCACACCAGCCCAGUCUUGAUUCACUGCUAAAAAUUCUCUGCUUUUGCCUAGUAGAGCGUUCAAUGAAUAUUGGUCAAGUGAAUGAAUGAAUGAAUGGUACUUCAGAUGAUCAUGCUACUCCUAGACAUUGGUUAAGAUGCCUUGGCCCUUCAAAAUCAAUAACGUGGUCUUUUUACACAGCACGUGCUCUUAAAAAUAAUCUAUUCUAUAUGUGUGUGUUAGGGCCACUUGUUUUCUAGACAGUUUUGUUUCUGUAGUCAAGUGGGCAUAGGAAGUUUAUAUGUGGGAAGUUAGUAUAUACAGACACACAGAUAUAUGUCUGUUUUCAUUGGCCUAUUUAUUCAUUGGAUGAAAUUGUUGCAGAAGCUAUUUGUAACUAUUCAGUAAGGUCUCCAUAUGUUGCAGUUCUUGCAGUUAGUGUUAAACAUUUGGAUCAAUACAACAUAGUGAUAGCAGCAAGAUCACAAACCUUCACAUUCUUCUGCCAUAUUCCAUUGGUUUUACAUCUUGAACUGUCUGUGAGUGGAGGCUGAUCUUUGCCUUGGGGCUCUAGAUGGCCAGGUUGAUGCAGCUCGACACACUUUAGACACCUGAGCACCCCCAGCAUGAAUACUUAAUGCUUUAGCAAAGACCCUGUGUCCUUCAGCUUACACAGUUGUGACUACAGGGAAACCUCGUUCCUGUUUUGAUAUGUUUGUUAUGUAGCAUGUCCUUUCCGAUCUCUGUAACCUUUCAGGGGUCAGUUUUCUCCUUUGUAAAAUGGCAGGCUUGGAAGAGAAGGCUCGAAAGCCCUUUGCAUGUCAGCCCAGGGAAGUGGAAAGACCACACCUAGGAACCGACUCUAGCUCUUACCACCCUGUAAGCCUGAGGCUCAGUUGCUGUCCCUGGAGAACAGAAAACAUAAUCAUGGCUAUUCUGAGGGUCAGGGGCAAGUGCUUUGCAAGUGGGAUUGUGGUGGGCAGUGGGAGGGAUUCUGGGGUUCACUGUCAUGCUAGUUGUGUAACUGGGCAAUGCAACCGUGUAAGUGUCAGGAAACCCUCAAUAAGACUGAGCCAGAGGCCAAUAAGAAGCCAGCAUUUACAUGAUGUUCUUUUCCUUUUUGUAACUAGGAAAUUUCGAUUUGCACACUGAUUUGGCCCACCAUUCCUGGAGAGAUCUCGUGGGAUGUCUCUUUUGUUACUUUGAACUUCUUGGUGCCAGGACUGGUCAUUGUGAUCAGUUACUCCAAAAUUUUACAGGUAUGUUUUCUGCAAGUGCUGCCACUGAACUUCACCCAGGCUUGGGGUUAUUUCUGCUAGAAUCUUAGAAUUUGGGGUCGGAGAACACCUAAGAGUUCACGCCAGCUCAAUCUUGAUUCACUGCCCAGGUCUACAACACUGAGGAAGGAGAGGAUUUUUUUAGAAGUUAUAUCUUUGUGAUUAUGUUUUUGCUCAUCACUAAAGUAAUACUAGGUCAUUACAAAAAAUUAAAUUAAAAUGAAAGCAGACACAUAAAUGUAAAUAACACAGAAACUGAAAACUUACUCUACCUUCUUAACAAUUCAAGAUGUAUUUUUUCAGGUUAUUUUUCUUAUAAGCUUAUGUAUAUGUCAUGUAUACUGUGUGUGUAUUUGAUGAACCAUAUGAAAUUGCAGGUUAAAAUGGUCAAAUGGUUAUCUGACACUGUUCAAUGUUCUUUUCAGAUAUGAGAUAAUACUCUCUGCUCUGUAACUCCUUUUUUCACUUAACAUUAUAUCUUAACAUCUUUCCACAUCAUUCCUAUAUCUCUAACUCAUUAUUUUUAGUGGCUACAGAUAUGACUUCAUUUAUUUUAUGGUCUUUUAGGCUGUGUCCAUUGUUUCCCCAUCGCAAACACUGCAGUACUGGAGAAUGUAUACUUUUUAAAACAUUUUAUUGAAGUAUUAUAUACAUAUAUAAAAAGCACACUGAGCAUAGGUGUAGGCUCAAACUGAGUGCAUUCAUGAAAGCAGCUCCCAGGUCAAGAAAUGGAAUAUUACCAGAAGUCCCUCCUAUUAUCUUCCAGUUGCUACUCCACCCACCCCCAGGGAAUGCCCAUUUCAAAUGUGCACUGAAACAGGAAAUGAUCUCUACCUUUAAAACAAAUAUGUACAGGGACAUAAAAAGGACGAGUCAGCCUGUUUUAUAUCUCGUAAGGUAGCCCAUUUGUGAGUAAGUUGCCUGCCCAGGCAAACAGCAUGGGUGCAUCCAUGUUUAUGCCCAUUUUAGAAGGUUUAAUGCAAAGCCCUUGAAUCCUCGUGGAGGUUUAUAGUUGUUGAAUCUUGGUUUUAUAGCAUCUCAUGUGUGGGUCAUCUGGCAAGUAGGCACUUGAAGUGGUGCCCUGUAGGGCCUGCUCACUCUCUGGUCACUUUUAUGGCCCUUUCUUUGCAGCUAAGGGUCUGUAACCUUCUUAGACGCUCAGAACCCAUAGCCAGGCCAACCUCCAUCCAGGUCUGCUAAUCCCUGGGUCCUGUGGGAGAUGGCCCCUCCAUGUCACUCAUUAGACUCUUGCCCACCCAAUGACCACUAAAGUGACACCCAGCCUGAGGCUUGUUCAAGUGCAGGAGGCAGAUUCAGGCCUGGAGUUAAGGUCUGGACAGUGCUUGCGAUGGGACCAGGCAUAUGAUAGUGCUAUGUAAGUGUUAGCUAUUAUCAUUAAGUUAAAAGGAAAGAGGUGAGAGAAAAAGGAAGAUAAAUGUAGAACUUAUUUAACAAAUAUUUACAUAGUGUUGACCAUAUGCCAGGAACUGACUCUUUAAUUCUGAUAAGAAUUACAGAUGAAGAAACCCAGGCACAGGGAGGUUAAGUAACUUACCCAAGGUAACACAGCUUGUAAGUGGCAAUCAGGAUUUAAAUUCAGGCAGUCUGACCCUAGAGUCCCAAUGCAUUAAUUCCUCAGACAUGUGUUAAGGGCCUGCUCUGUGCGAAGUGCUUGGGGGAAGGGAGGUGGGCUAAAAACCGAGCAAGACACAUUCUCUAUCCAGAAGAAGCUUUGACAUAAAAGGGGAAGAGGGAGGAGACAGACAAGGGUGCUGAUAUCGAAAGGAGAGAAACUGAACACAAGGUGGAAUGAUACUGAGACUUUGCAAACACUUUGCAAACUGUUAAAUGCUACACAAACGUAAGGGACGAAUAAGGGGUAUAAGAAAGAAGAGCAGGCCAGGUGUGGUAGCUCACGCCUGUAAUCCUAGCACUUUGGGAGGGUGAGACCAGUGGAUCACCUGAGGUCAGGAAUUCAAGGCCAGCCUCGCCAACAUGGUGAAAGCCCGUCUCUACUAAUAAUACAAAAAUCAGCCGGGCGUAGUGGUGGGCGUCUGUAAUCCCAGCUACUGUGGAGGCUGAGGCAGGAGAAUCACUUGAACCCAGGAAGAGGAGGUUGCAGUAAGCCGAGAUCGUGCCACUGCACUCCAGCCUGGGCAACAAAGUGAGAUUCCCUCUCAAAAAAAAAAAAAAAAAA
Molecule: long non-coding RNA, 3789 nt
Filed under: Homo sapiens (human)
Lineage: Eukaryota; Metazoa; Chordata; Mammalia; Primates; Hominidae
Description: long non-coding RNA NONHSAT015684.2
Source: RNAcentral